Molecule: ribosomal RNA, 847 nt
Filed under: uncultured bacterium
Lineage: Bacteria
Description: bacterial SSU rRNA
Rfam family: Bacterial small subunit ribosomal RNA
Source: RNAcentral
GUCGAGGGGCAGCRKWUSUAGCUUGCUASWAGAYGKCGACCGGCGGACGGGUGCGUAACGCGUAUACAAUCUGCCUCAUACAGGAGAAUAGCCCAGAGAAAUUUGGAUUAAUGCUCCAUAGUCUUUCUCUCUCGCAUGGGAGAGUUUGUAAAGCUUCGGYGGUAUGAGAUGAGUAUGCGUCCUAUUAGCUAGUUGGUGAGGUAACUGCUCACCAAGGCGACGAUAGGUAGGGGUUCUGAGAGGAUGAUCCCCCACACUGGUACUGAGACACGGACCAGACUCCUACGGGAGGCAGCAGUGAGGAAUAUUGGUCAAUGGGCGCAAGCCUGAACCAGCCAUCCCGCGUGAAGGAYGACGGCUCUACGAGUUGUAAACUUCUUUUAUAUACCAAGAAAAGUAGUCACGUGUGAUUAUCUGACGGUAGUAUAUGAAUAAGCACCGGCUAACUCCGUGCCAGCAGCCGCGGUAAUACGGAGGGUGCAAGCGUUAUCCGGAUUUAUUGGGUUUAAAGGGUUCGUAGGCGGUAAYAUAAGUCAGUGGUGAAAKCCUGCAGCUCAACUGUAGAACUGCCAUUGAWACUGURUUACUUGAGUAUACUUGAGGUAGGCGGAAUAUGUAGUGUAGCGGUGAAAUGCUUAGAUAUUACAUAGAACACCGAUUGCGAAGGCAGCUUACUAAGGUAUAACUGACGCUGAUGAACGAAAGCGUGGGGAGCGAACAGGAUUAGAUACCCUGGUAGUCCACGCCGUAAACGAUGAUUACUCGCUGUAGGCGAUACACAGUCUGUGGCUAAGCGAAAGUUUUAAGUAAUCCACCUGGGGAGUACGAUCGCANGAUUGAAACUCAA